Molecule: non-coding RNA, 324 nt
Organism: Paramisgurnus dabryanus
Lineage: Eukaryota; Metazoa; Chordata; Actinopteri; Cypriniformes; Cobitidae
Source: RefSeq, a predicted model, not a curated record
GUGUUUAGGUUGGGUGACCACUACUGAUAGCUGCAGUUAUAAGGGACUUAUUGAACAUCUCGGCUUAGACAGCGAUAACUUUCAGAUGAAGUCUCUCCGCCCGGUGUAUAACUUUAGCAACCCUACUGAAGUUUUGGUAGACCUGUUUGUGACCUCCAUCACAGAUGUGGAUGAAAAAGCCCAAAGCUUCGCAACACAGAUCACACUUAUAUUGGGUUGGAUCAAUGAAUUCACAAGGUGGAACGACAGCGACUUUUGUGGGCUCCAAACAUGUACAAUUGAUAAAGAUAAGAUGUGGAUUCCAGACAUUACCAUUGCCGAAAG